Molecule: long non-coding RNA, 276 nt
Filed under: Homo sapiens (human)
Lineage: Eukaryota; Metazoa; Chordata; Mammalia; Primates; Hominidae
Description: HSALNT0183484
Source: RNAcentral
AGAUGGCUUAGUUAAGUUGACCCAGCUAUUGGGAUGGGUUGUGCAAAGCCCAGGCACAGGGUUCAGACUCCAUCUUCUGUGUUCUUCUUAAUUGACAAACUGCAAUGGCUGUCUUCAGAGUCUUGGUUUUCUAUGGUGGUCAACUCCUGAGUUCUUAUGAUGUCGCUGGGCACAGAAAAAAUAAACGGAGAAGAUCCCAGUGAUACGGAGACUUGGAUGAUUCAGAUGGAAAAAGCAUGAGUUGCCAGCAUUAAGCUGCACGUGAUUUCUGGGCAG